RNAcentral lists this long non-coding RNA (658 nucleotides) under Equus asinus (donkey). RNAcentral describes it as "lncRNA (ENSEASG00005036294.1)". The record is from RNAcentral. Lineage: Eukaryota; Metazoa; Chordata; Mammalia; Perissodactyla; Equidae.
CUGAACUUAACCACUACGCCACUGGGCUAACCCCCAAAGCAGGAAUAUUUUUAAUGGGAAAGAGUGAAUAAGCACUCUGCAGGCUAGUUGGGCCUGAUGGGUGGUGCUCUUCCUUAUUCAAAUGAAACUUAGCAAUUCAAUUGGUGGCUGAAAAAAACCUGAAAAAUGCAGGAGUUGGAACCAGGGAAGACAAGUGAGAUGGAGGAGAAGACGUUUGUGGAAAACAGCCAGAUAUUUACCACCAAGACUCUCUGUGCUUAACUAAUUUCUCAUUAGUUCUGCAGGAAUCUCAGUGGCUUGAAUGCUAACAUGAUGGCAGAAGCUGGGUCGAUCAUCUUAGACCAUUAAGUGAAAGUCAAGAAUGAGGAAGGCAGAACAACAUAAUAGAAGGAUCCUAGAUCCCUUUUACUAUGGAGACCCCAUCACAUUCUGGAUUGCCUGCACUUAAUUGCUGAGUGAGAGAGCAGUCAAUGUUUAUCUCAUUUAAUCUCCUGUUGUGUUGGAUCUUGUCAAAGCAGCCAUCCUAUAUCUUAAUACAAUGAUUACGUCCUUAAUACAAUCACUUAGUGAUUGUCUUCCUUGGACUAUUGCAUUAGCCUUCUCACUUGUCUCUCUGUUUAUAUUUUAGAUUCAUAUGUCCAAUCUUCUCUGGUCACCA